CUCAGGUAGCGAGAAAGCAGGGAAUGAUUGACUGAGGAAAGUGCUGGCUUAAAAUUGUUUUAUUAUAAAUUUUGGCACAAUGAUUUGGUUUUUAAAAUGGGCUCACUAUGUAAUCUCGUCGCUCGUGUGAGGAGACACCAUGGCUAUGAUAACUUACGGAAGAACGCAUUUAGUUGGAUGCUUGCUUAUAGUUCCGAAGGGUUAACCAGAUAUAGGACUCCUCUGUCUUGCUACGAUGGACAGCCACAGGGAUUCACAUGAAUAAAAGAAGCAACAGUGGGUGCCAGGCUGUUUGUGUUGUGGAUUGAACGGAGAGCCUUGCACAGAAAUGUGCUGUUUUGUUAUACAUUUAUUACAAAGAGUCUCACUAAAAGAAAAUAUCUCAAAAAGGAUGCCAAGCUAAGAACCUCCACCUGGAGAACUGGGGGAAGGCAGGGCAAUGUAAGUUUUCUGCUUGCCCAAGACCUGUGGAAGAUAUAAACAGAAUCAGCCUAAAAAUGGCUGAUAUUACCCAAGCCUGAAAAGGGCUCAGAGAACACCAAGUCACCCCUGCUAGAAAGCUUAAUCAGAGCAUCUUAACAGAGCUCCUAAGCAGGCUUGGCAGUUCAGGAUUUUGUCUUCUGGUUGUUUUCUUUUCCACUUAGAAUAUCAACGUCAACAUACAGCACCCUCUGGCCAUACUUUAGCAGUUCCAGGAUGGCCAAGACGAUCUCGAUCUCAUUGAUGUAACAGAAACCUGAUAUGUCAGACUUCUUUACAUGAUGCAGCCCCCCCAGCCUGCCUCGCAGUGAUGUCCCUCUGAUGUUUAUCAAGUUUCACAGCACUUUCCAAGGAGCCGCCAAUAGACAACUGACAACUCAGACAGGCCAUUGAUUACCAGACAGUCCUCACCAACGCUGAAUCUCUGCAUUGCUGUAUUCAGACACGUUAUCUGGGCGAAUAGAGCACAAGAAUUUAAUGUAGUCAUCACUGUGGGACUUGGUCAUCUCCUCAGCGUUGGCUCUGUGAGGACGAUAGAUUUCCAGUUUUUGGUAGAGAUGUAGUUGAGCGGCAAAUCGAGAGUCAUGUGGAUUUGGUGAGGCUUCAUUGGGUGGCCCUGUCCAUAAAAUAGUUUCCAACAUCCCUGUUAACAGACAUUCCUCUUGCCCUGAGUCUGUGCCAUCUUUCUCACCACCCAGUGCUCCUGCCAGUCUGAUGUUUUAAUAUAUUUAGAUGGUGAUGCUUUAAAUGGCCUUUGACAAAUUCUAUACUAAUUUCUAUUUAAGACAAGGAAAGAAAACAAAUAUGGAUAAGGAACAUAAAAUAAUGAAUGGACUGGAAACAGAAGUAAACUUAUU
Molecule: non-coding RNA, 1337 nt
Organism: Mus caroli (Ryukyu mouse)
Lineage: Eukaryota; Metazoa; Chordata; Mammalia; Rodentia; Muridae
Source: RefSeq, a predicted model, not a curated record